Small nucleolar RNA from Anguilla rostrata (American eel), 100 nucleotides. RefSeq annotates it as small nucleolar RNA U13. The transcript has a single exon. NCBI's taxonomy places the organism in Eukaryota, Metazoa, Chordata, Actinopteri, Anguilliformes, Anguillidae. The record is from RefSeq and is a predicted model, not a curated record.
AUCCUUUCGGUUCAUGCAAAUGAUGAACGGGUUAAUCACGGACUAUCUGUGAAAUGUACUGCCUUAUUCUUGUUACGCAUUGUACAUUACCCUUCUGAUC